RNAcentral lists this ribosomal RNA (501 nucleotides) under uncultured bacterium. RNAcentral's name for it is "partial 16S ribosomal RNA". It matches the Rfam family "Bacterial small subunit ribosomal RNA", at positions 899 to 1397 of the family's 1533-position model. The record is from RNAcentral.
ACUCAAAUGAAUUGACGGGGGCCCGCACAAGCGGUGGAGCAUGUGGUUUAAUUCGACGCAACGCGAAGAACCUUACCUGGGCUUGACAUGCUGGAGAAAGCUCCCAGAAACGGGAGCCCCUCUUCGGAGUUCCAGCACAGAUGCUGCAUGGCUGUCGUCAGCUCGUGUCGUGAGAUGUUGGGUUAAGUCCCGCAACGAGCGCAACCCUCAUCCCUAGUUACCAGCGGGUAAAGCCGGGAACUCUAGGGGGACUGCCGGUGCCAAACCGGACGAAGGUGGGGACGACGUCAAGUCAUCAUGGCUCUUACGUCCAGGGCUACACACGUGCUACAAUGGGCCAGACAAAGGGCUGCCAACCCGCGAGGGGGAGCCAAUCCCAUAAACUGGUCCUCAGUUCGGAUUGCAGUCUGCAACUCGACUGCAUGAAGCUGGAAUCGCUAGUAAUCGUGGAUCAGCUACGCCACGGUGAAUACGUUCCCGGGCCUUGUACACACCGCCCGU